CCGCGUUGGCAGUGUGGUUAGCUGGUUGUGUAUGGAAAUGACAACAGCCACUAACGACACUGCUCCUGCGU
This is a non-coding RNA of Bombyx mori (domestic silkworm), 71 nucleotides long. The record is from Rfam. Lineage: Eukaryota; Metazoa; Arthropoda; Insecta; Lepidoptera; Bombycidae.